This 468-nucleotide ribosomal RNA is filed under the name uncultured bacterium. RNAcentral describes it as "partial 16S ribosomal RNA". It matches the Rfam family "Bacterial small subunit ribosomal RNA", at positions 28 to 507 of the family's 1533-position model. The record is from RNAcentral.
GACGAACGCUGGCGGCGUGCUUAACACAUGCAAGUCGAACGGAAAGGCCCUGCUUUUGUGGGGUGCUCGAGUGGCGAACGGGUGAGUAACACGUGAGUAACCUGCUCUUGACUUUGGGAUAACUUCAGGAAACUGGGGCUAAUACCGGAUAGGAGCUCCUGCUGCAUGGUGGGGGUUGGAAAGUUUCGGCGGUUGGGGAUGGACUCGCGGCUUAUCAGCUUGUUGGUGGGGUAGUGGCUUACCAAGGCUUUGACGGGUAGCCGGCCUGAGAGGGUGACCGGCCACAUUGGGACUGAGAUACGGCCCAGACCCCUACGGGAGGCAGCAGUGGGGAAUAUUGCACAAUGGGCGGAAGCCUGAUGCAGCAACGCCGCGUGCGGGAUGACGGCCUUCGGGUUGUAAACCGCUUUCGCCUGUGACGAAGCGUGAGUGACGGUAAUGGGUAAAGAAGCACCGGCUAACUACGUG